Polypterus senegalus (gray bichir) is the source of this 1128-nucleotide long non-coding RNA. RefSeq lists it as uncharacterized. The record is from RefSeq and is a predicted model, not a curated record. The transcript is spliced from 6 exons. Lineage: Eukaryota; Metazoa; Chordata; Cladistia; Polypteriformes; Polypteridae.
GUCAGAGAGAACAAAGAAAAAAGGUUUGAGUUAUGAAGAUCUGACUUUACAACGGCUAACAGAAGAAAAGUGAGGACAAAAGUGGCAGCAGGUGUGUUCCUCCUGGAUGGCUGCCAUGAUAAAGUGAAUGUGAAGCUGACAGCUGAGCAGUCUGAUGUCAGGACCUGAGCUGUGAAGGUCUGACUUUACUACGACUGGAUGUGCUUUAUGAAUUCCAGAUCACUGCUCUUUGAUCGAUCACUGAAAACAGAAUCUGUGACAAAGAAGAGAGAAAAGAAGUGAAAGCAGUAGACCUCCCACCUGCCCUAUAAAGAUCUGUGAUAUAAGGAGUUGGUGUGGCUCACCAGGACAGGAGUGUCAGUACCACCAUGAGACUCGCCGCAUUGCUGGUUCUGCUGUGCCUGUGCUCUACUGCGAUGGCUUUGCCAUCUGGUAUUCCAGACAAACCAGGGGUGGGAUCACCUGCAUCAGCAAAAGGCACAAUAUACGUUCUAAGUAAAUCAUUACUGAUAGGCGGAAUUCGAAAGCUUAAAGUAAAAGAUCCAAGAAGAGUUGGUGGAUGACCUGCAAGACUAACAUAAUUUGCCCAAAGGGACCAAUCCAGGAAAGAAAAUAAACAAAAAAUGCCAUUGCUUAAAAUAAAAUAAAUUGAAAUGCAUUGAACCGGUUGGCUGUUUGUUCACAUGUUUAAGUUUUGUCUUUCAAGUAUAUGUUUUAUUUGAUAUAUUUUCUUAUGUUCAUUACUCAGAAACUAUAACAUUGCACAGACUGAUCUCAAGAAUGACUUCUAGGCUGACCUAUCAAAGAAGGGGAUUGGUGUAGUUGGUAGGAUUCACAUGUCGUCAAUGCUUCAUCUCAAAUUCUUAUUUAUGUUCCUUUGAAGCACAUUUAUUGAUAUGUGAGUGCUGAAGGAUGCAUUUCUUCACACUAUAUUCCUUUUCUGAUUUCUGAGCAUUUUUGAUUUGUUUUUCUAGCAGAUAUAUUUUUAUUAUUGUUGAAAUGACAUUGUUUAUUAAUUUGUAUACCUGUUACUGGUUAUUUACUAGGUGGUAUUAUGUCAUCUCACCCCACUUAUAUAAGACUAGCAGAAUACCCGCGCUUCGCAGCGGAGAAGUAGUGUGUUAAAGA